UACGUAGGGUGUCGAAGCUGUUGUGCCCGGAAGUUUAUUGGGCGUGAAAGGGCGCGUAGGCGGUCACGCACGUACCGUUGUGGAAAUCGUCUCGGACGUCAACUGGGCGGGGUCAGCGGAUACGGUGUGGCUGGAGGCAAGCUGAGGGGCAAGUGGAAUUCCCGGUGAUAGUGGUGGAAUGCGUAGAUAUCGGGGAAGGGAACGACCAGUGGCGGAAGGCGGGUUGCCUGGAGCUUUGCUGACGCAUGAGUGCGCGAAAGCGUGGGAGCCGAUCCGG
RNAcentral lists this ribosomal RNA (277 nucleotides) under uncultured bacterium. RNAcentral describes it as "partial 16S ribosomal RNA". The stretch from base 34 to 277 matches the Rfam family "Bacterial small subunit ribosomal RNA", at positions 550 to 776 of the family's 1533-position model. The record is from RNAcentral.